CUAGAGGAGCCUGUUCUAUAAUCGAUUCUCCCCGAUAAACCUCACCACUUCUAGCCAACUCAGCCUGUAUACCUCCGUCGUAAGCUUACCAUAUGAACGCUAAUUAGUGAGCUUAAAGAUCUUUACAUCAACACGUCAGGUCAAGGUGCAGCUCACGAAGUGGGAAGUAAUGGGCUACAAUUUCUAACUUAGAACACACGAAAGACUACAUGAAACACAGUCAUGAAGGCGGAUUUAGCAGUAAAAAGAAAAUAGAGAGUUCUUUUUAAUUAGGCGCUGGGACGCGUACACACCGCCCGUCACCCUCUUCAAACGCCCACAAACGUUAAUUAACACCUAACCGCACCAUAGAAGAGGUAAGUCGUAACACGGUAAGCGUACUGGAAAGUGCGCUUGGACUAACAA
RNAcentral lists this ribosomal RNA (405 nucleotides) under Scaphiophryne calcarata (Mocquard's rain frog). RNAcentral describes it as "partial small subunit ribosomal RNA". It matches the Rfam family "Bacterial small subunit ribosomal RNA", at positions 929 to 1533 of the family's 1533-position model. The record is from RNAcentral. Lineage: Eukaryota; Metazoa; Chordata; Amphibia; Anura; Microhylidae.